This 360-nucleotide RNase P RNA is filed under the name Brachybacterium nesterenkovii. Its description in RNAcentral is "Bacterial RNase P class A". It matches the Rfam family "Bacterial RNase P class A". From Rfam's summary of the family: Ribonuclease P (RNase P) is a ubiquitous endoribonuclease, found in archaea, bacteria and eukarya as well as chloroplasts and mitochondria. The record is from Rfam by way of RNAcentral. Lineage: Bacteria; Bacillati; Actinomycetota; Actinomycetes; Micrococcales; Dermabacteraceae.
CCAGUCGGCCGGGCAGUCGCGUCCCCGAUGCAGCGCAUCGGGGCCGAGGAAAGUCCGGGCUCCGUCCGGCACGGUGGUGGGUAACGCCCACCCGGAGCGAUCCGCGGGACAGUGCCACAGAGAGCAGACCGCCGGCACCGCACGUCGGGAGCCGGUAAGGGUGAAAGGGUGGUGUAAGAGACCACCGCGGUCGUGGUGACACGACCGGCAUGGCAAACCCCACCGGGAGCAAGGCCAGACAGGGGACGUCUGAGGGUGCCGGCCCGAGUCCCCGGGUAGGCCGCUGGAGGUCGUCGGCGACGGCGAUCCGAGAGGGAUGACUGCCGAUCACAGAACCCGGCUUACAGGCCGGCUGGUCCG